This 253-nucleotide ribosomal RNA is filed under the name uncultured bacterium. RNAcentral's name for it is "partial 16S ribosomal RNA". It matches the Rfam family "Bacterial small subunit ribosomal RNA", at positions 524 to 776 of the family's 1533-position model. The record is from RNAcentral.
UACGUAGGGUGCGAGCAUUGUCCGGAAUUAUUGGGCGUAAAGAGCUUGUAGGCGGUUUGUCGCGUCUGCUGUGAAAUUUCGGGGCUCAACCCCGAACUUGCAGUGGGUACGGGCAGACUAGAGUGUGGUAGGGGAGACUGGAAUUCCUGGUGUAGCGGUGAAAUGCGCAGAUAUCAGGAGGAACACCGAUGGCGAAGGCAGGUCUCUGGGCCAUAACUGACGCUGAGAAGCGAAAGCAUGGGGAGCGAACAGG